CGCAGGCGGUCUGUCAAGUCGGAUGUGAAAUCCCCGGGCUCAACCUGGGAACUGCAUUCGAAACUGGCAGGCUUGAGUCUUGUAGAGGGGGGUAGAAUUCCAGGUGUAGCGGUGAAAUGCGUAGAGAUCUGGAGGAAUACCGGUGGCGAAGGCGGCCCCCUGGACAAAGACUGACGCUCAGGUGCGAAAGCGUGGGGAGCAAACAGGAUUAGAUACCCUGGUAGUCCACGCCGUAAACGAUGUCUACUUGGAGGUUGUGCCCUUGAGGCGUGGCUUCCGGAGCUAACGCGUUAAGUAGACCGCCUGGGGAGUACGGCCGCAAGGUUAAAACUCAAAUGAAUUGACGGGGGCCCGCACAAGCGGUGGAGCAUGUGGUUUAAUUCGAUGCAACGCGAAGAACCUUACCUGGUCUUGACAUCCACAGAACUUUCCAGAGAUGGAUUGGUGCCUUCGGGAACUGUGAGACAGGUGCUGCAUGGCUGUCGUCAGCUCGUGUUGUGAAAUGUUGGGUUAAGUCCCGCAACGAGCGCAACCCUUAUCCUUUGUUGCCAGCGGUCCGGCCGGGAACUCAAAGGAGACUGCCAGUGAUAAACUGGAGGAAGGUGGGGAUGACGUCAAGUCAUCAUGGCCCUUACGACCAGGGCUACACACGUGCUACAAUGGCGCAUACAAAGAGAAGCGACCUCGCGAGAGCAAGCGGACCUCAUAAAGUGCGUCGUAGUCCGGAUUGGAGUCUGCAACUCGACUCCAUGAAGUCGGAAUCGCUAGUAAUCGUGGAUCAGAAUGCCACGGUGAAUACGUUCCCGGGCCUUGUACACACCGCCCGUCACACCAUGGGAGUGGGUUGCAAAAGAAGUAGGUAGCUUAACCUUCGGGAGGGCGCUUACCACUUUGUGAUUCAUGACUGGGGUGAAGUCGUAACAAGGUAACCGUAGGGGAACCUGC
Molecule: ribosomal RNA, 945 nt
Filed under: Salmonella enterica subsp. enterica serovar Javiana
Lineage: Bacteria; Pseudomonadati; Pseudomonadota; Gammaproteobacteria; Enterobacterales; Enterobacteriaceae
Description: bacterial SSU rRNA
Rfam family: Bacterial small subunit ribosomal RNA
Source: RNAcentral